Molecule: ribosomal RNA, 467 nt
Filed under: uncultured organism
Description: partial 16S ribosomal RNA
Rfam family: Bacterial small subunit ribosomal RNA
Source: RNAcentral
CACUCCUACGGGAGGCAGCAGUGAGGAAUAUUGGACAAUGGGUGGAAGCCUGAUCCAGCCAUCCCGCGUGCAGGAAGACGGCCCUAUGGGUUGUAAACUGCUUUUAUCUGGGGAUAAACCUACUUACGUGUAAGUAGCUGAAGGUACCAGAAGAAUAAGCACCGGCUAACUCCGUGCCAGCAGCCGCGGUAAUACGGAGGGUGCAAGCGUUAUCCGGAUUUAUUGGGUUUAAAGGGUCCGUAGGCGGACUGAUAAGUCAGUGGUGAAAUCCGACAGCUUAACUGUCGAACUGCCAUUGAUACUGUUAGUCUUGAGUAAGGUUGAAGUGGCUGGAAUAAGUAGUGUAGCGGUGAAAUGCAUAGAUAUUACUUAGAACACCAAUUGCGAAGGCAGGUCACUAAGUCUUAACUGACGCUGAUGGACGAAAGCGUGGGGAGCGAACAGGAUUAGAAACCCGAGUAGUCCCA